GUGACUGCGUACCUUUUGUAUAAUGGGUCAGCGACUUAUAUUCUGUAGCAAGGUUAACCGAAUAGGGGAGCCGGAGGGAAACCGAGUCUUAAUUGGGCGUUAAGUUGCAGGGUAUAGACCCGAAACCCGGUGAUCUAGCCAUGGGCAGGUUGAAGGUUGGGUAACACUAACUGGAGGACCGAACCGACUAAUGUUGAAAAAUUAGCGGAUGACCUGUGGCUGGGGGUGAAAGGCCAAUCAAACCGGGAGAUAGCUGGUUCUCCCCGAAAGCUAUUUAGGUAGCGCCUCGUGAAUUCAUCUCCGGGGGUAGAGCACUGUUUCGGCUAGGGGGCCAUCCCGGCUUACCAACCCGAUGCAAACUGCGAAUACCGGAGAAUGUUAUCACGGGAGACACACGGCGGGUGCUAACGUCCGUCGUGAAGAGGGAAACAACCCAGACCGCCAGCUAAGGUCCCAAAGUCAUGGUUAAGUGGGAAACGAUGUGGGAAGGCCCAGACAGCCAGGAUGUUGGCUUAGAAGCAGCCAUCAUUUAAAGAAAGCGUAAUAGCUCACUGGUCGAGUCGGCCUGCGCGGAAGAUGUAACGGGGCUAAACCAUGCACCGAAGCUGCGGCAGCGACGCUGAUGCGUUGUUGGGUAGGGGAGCGUUCUGUAAGCCUGCGAAGGUGGCCUGUGAGGGUUGCUGGAGGUAUCAGAAGUGCGAAUGCUGACAUAAGUAACGAUAAAGCGGGUGAAAAGCCCGCUCGCCGGAAGACCAAGGGUUCCUGUCCAACGUUAAUCGGGGCAGGGUGAGUCGACCCCUAAGGCGAGGCCGAAAGGCGUAGUCGAUGGGAAACGGGUUAAUAUUCCCGUACUUGGUGUUACUGCGAAGGGGGGACGGAGAAGGCUAUGUUGGCCGGGCGACGGUUGUCCCGGUUUAAGCGUGUAGGUGUGUGUUCCAGGUAAAUCCGGUUCACUUUAACACUGAGGCGUGAUGACGAGGCACUACGGUGCUGAAGCAACAAAUGCCCUGCUUCCAGGAAAAGCCUCUAAGCAUCAGGUAACAUCAAAUCGUACCCCAAACCGACACAGGUGGUCAGGUAGAGAAUACCAAGGCGCUUGAGAGAACUCGGGUGAAGGAACUAGGCAAAAUGGUGCCGUAACUUCGGGAGAAGGCACGCUGACACGUAGGUGAAGUGAUUUACUCAUGGAGCUGAAGUCAGUCGAAGAUACCAGCUGGCUGCAACUGUUUAUUAAAAACACAGCACUGUGCAAACACGAAAGUGGACGUAUACGGUGUGACGCCUGCCCGGUGCCGGAAGGUUAAUUGAUGGGGUCAGCGCAAGCGAAGCUCCUGAUCGAAGCCCCGGUAAACGGCGGCCGUAACUAUAACGGUCCUAAGGUAGCGAAAUUCCUUGUCGGGUAAGUUCCGACCUGCACGAAUGGCGUAAUGAUGGCCAGGCUGUCUCCACCCGAGACUCAGUGAAAUUGAACUCGCUGUGAAGAUGCAGUGUACCCGCGGCAAGACGGAAAGACCCCGUGAACCUUUACUAUAGCUUGACACUGAACAUUGAGCCUUGAUGUGUAGGAUAGGUGGGAGGCUUUGAAGUGUGGACGCCAGUCUGCAUGGAGCCGACCUUGAAAUACCACCCUUUAAUGUUUGAUGUUCUAACGUGGACCCGUGAUCCGGGUUGCGGACAGUGUCUGGUGGGUAGUUUGACUGGGGCGGUCUCCUCCUAAAGAGUAACGGAGGAGCACGAAGGUUGGCUAAUCCUGGUCGGACAUCAGGAGGUUAGUGCAAUGGCAUAAGCCAGCUUGACUGCGAGCGUGACGGCGCGAGCAGGUGCGAAAGCAGGUCAUAGUGAUCCGGUGGUUCUGAAUGGAAGGGCCAUCGCUCAACGGAUAAAAGGUACUCCGGGGAUAACAGGCUGAUACCGCCCAAGAGUUCAUAUCGACGGCGGUGUUUGGCACCUCGAUGUCGGCUCAUCACAUCCUGGGGCUGAAGUAGGUCCCAAGGGUAUGGCUGUUCGCCAUUUAAAGUGGUACGCGAGCUGGGUUUAGAACGUCGUGAGACAGUUCGGUCCCUAUCUGCCGUGGGCGCUGGAGAACUGAGGGGGGCUGCUCCUAGUACGAGAGGACCGGAGUGGACGCAUCACUGGUGUUCGGGUUGUCAUGCCAAUGGCACUGCCCGGUAGCUAAAUGCGGAAGAGAUAAGUGCUGAAAGCAUCUAAGCACGAAACUUGCCCCGAGAUGAGUUCUCCCUGAGACUUAAAGUCUCCUGAAGGAACGUUGAAGACGACGACGUUGAUAGGCCGGGUGUGUAAGCGCAGCGAUGCGUUGAGCUAACCGGUACUAAUGAACCGUGAGGCUUAACCUUACAACGCCGAAG
RNAcentral lists this ribosomal RNA (2366 nucleotides) under Salmonella enterica subsp. enterica serovar Eastbourne. RNAcentral describes it as "bacterial LSU rRNA". It matches the Rfam family "Bacterial large subunit ribosomal RNA", at positions 593 to 2925 of the family's 2925-position model. The record is from RNAcentral. Lineage: Bacteria; Pseudomonadati; Pseudomonadota; Gammaproteobacteria; Enterobacterales; Enterobacteriaceae.